GAGAUAAAAGUAAGAGUAGAGCUGCUAACUCUAACUCUAAGCGGUUUAACUCCGUUUGUAUCUUU
This 65-nucleotide transfer RNA is filed under the name Daphnia magna. RNAcentral describes it as "tRNA-Ser". Lineage: Eukaryota; Metazoa; Arthropoda; Branchiopoda; Diplostraca; Daphniidae. The record is from RNAcentral. RNAcentral also lists the same sequence under 1 other name.